CCCGUCACCCCGGACUUGAUCCGGGGUCCAUGGUGCAGCGGGUGCUGGCGCAUGAAGCUCUCGCGCUGGCGCUCGCCGAGAUAUGGACCCCGGAUCAAGUCCGGGGUGACGGG
Molecule: microRNA precursor, 113 nt
Filed under: Sphingomonas sp. KC8
Lineage: Bacteria; Pseudomonadati; Pseudomonadota; Alphaproteobacteria; Sphingomonadales; Sphingomonadaceae
Description: microRNA MIR1151
Source: RNAcentral